UACGAAGGGGGCUAGCGUUGCUCGGAAUUACUGGGCGUAAAGGGCGCGUAGGCGGACAGUUUAGUCAGAGGUGAAAGCCCAGGGCUCAACCUUGGAAUUGCCUUUGAUACUGGCUGUCUUGAGUUCGGGAGAGGUGAGUGGAAUGCCGAGUGUAGAGGUGAAAUUCGUAGAUAUUCGGCGGAACACCAGUGGCGAAGGCGGCGAUCUGGACGAUGACUGACGCUGAGACGCGAAAGCGUGGGGAGCAAACAGG
RNAcentral lists this ribosomal RNA (253 nucleotides) under uncultured bacterium. Its description in RNAcentral is "partial 16S ribosomal RNA". It matches the Rfam family "Bacterial small subunit ribosomal RNA", at positions 524 to 776 of the family's 1533-position model. The record is from RNAcentral.